This 434-nucleotide ribosomal RNA is filed under the name uncultured Lachnospiraceae bacterium. RNAcentral's name for it is "bacterial SSU rRNA". It matches the Rfam family "Bacterial small subunit ribosomal RNA", at positions 341 to 792 of the family's 1533-position model. The record is from RNAcentral. Lineage: Bacteria; Bacillati; Bacillota; Clostridia; Lachnospirales; Lachnospiraceae.
ACGGGAGGCAGCAGUGGGGAAUAUUGGACAAUGGGGGAAACCCUGAUCCAGCGACGCCGCGUGAGUGAAGAAGUAUUUCGGUAUGUAAAGCUCUAUCAGCAAGGAAGAAAAUGACGGUACUUGACUAAGAAGCUCCGGCUAAAUACGUGCCAGCAGCCGCGGUAAUACGUAUGGAGCAAGCGUUAUCCGGAUUUACUGGGUGUAAAGGGAGCGUAGGCGGCGUUGCAAGUCAGAUGUGAAUCCCCGGGGCUUAACUCCGGGACUGCAUUUGAAACUGUGAUGCUAGAGUGCGGGAGAGGUAAGCGGAAUUCCUAGUGUAGCGGUGAAAUGCGUAGAUAUUAGGAAGAACACCAGUGGCGAAGGCGGCUUACUGGACCGUAACUGACGCUGAGGCUCGAAAGCGUGGGGAGCAAACAGGAUUAGAUACCCUGGUA